This is a non-coding RNA of Arachis ipaensis, 203 nucleotides long. Lineage: Eukaryota; Viridiplantae; Streptophyta; Magnoliopsida; Fabales; Fabaceae. The record is from RefSeq and is a predicted model, not a curated record.
GUAGUUGGCACCCACCUAAGCUUGGAUUGAAGCGUAUUUCUCAGGUUUUUAAAGAAAACUACAACAAGCCUUGGCUGAGUUUUGAUGAGGCAGAUGAUGAUAUUCGGAAAAUAUGGUGGACUGAGUGGAGGAAAUGCUUUGACAUUAUUGAUACGGAAGAGGAUGAUAUCUAUCAAGCUUGGAGGUUUAGGGCUGCCAAGCGC